This 7303-nucleotide long non-coding RNA is filed under the name Gossypium barbadense (sea-island cotton). RNAcentral describes it as "long non-coding RNA (GBAR_LNC001801)". Lineage: Eukaryota; Viridiplantae; Streptophyta; Magnoliopsida; Malvales; Malvaceae. The record is from RNAcentral.
GACCGAUGAUGCGAGACGUGUUGUGGGAUUUAGAAUACGCAUUGCAGCUUCAGUUAAUUCCGAUGAACAAUGGAACAUUCGAAGACAGUACGACUAAUGUUUCCUUAGAAUUCUCAAUGACGCCUGUCCUCCAUCGGUUACCUUCAAAUAGCUUCCCGGCCGUUGAGGAAGAAGGUGCGGCCUUACUAUCCGUUGAUGCUUCCGAUGUAUUCUCAUUAUUGAGUGUUGGUGAGGCUAGAUAGUCUCCACUGGUUUAAAUGUUGAUAAGCGCUACAUUUUGUAAGUACUAUUCUUUUGGUAAAAUGACCUCUCCGGUCCCUCUCAAUUCCAAUAUCAAGUAAAUUAGUCCCUCUAAAAAAAAUUGAACAAUUUCAUUUUUGUGAAAUUUGAAAUUGAACAACUAAGCGUCAUUAAUCACAUCAUUAAUUUUUUCAUCAAAUCUACCUAUAUUAAUUUAUAAUUUUAUUAUUUUAGAACGCACUAAACAAAUAUUUUUUAUCCAAAAGAAAACCAAACAUUUUUAAUUUCUAGGACCAAAACUUCUGCCUAACCUUAUAUUCGUCCCUGCCAUUUUUCUGAAUUAUUUUACCAUCCCACCUUUUUCUUUUGGUUUGUUGUCAAUGAAGAAUACAUGCGAUGGAGACAUUUGGGAUUUGAGAAAAAUUGAAGAAAAAAAAAGGUAAAAGCUGCUCAACUGAAGCAACUUCAAGAAGUGGAGAUGUUUGUUGACCUUUAUAUACAAAAUAGUUAAAAACGAGAUUAAAUUUUCUGACAAUUUACUUUAAUUAAUAUAAAUGUGACUUAUAAUAAUUUAGAACCUGAACUUGACACUUUUUCUUAAUUUGAUAUUUAAAUUUAAUUUUUUUUAAGUUGGUACUUAAUCUUUUUCGGGGUCUAAUUUGGUACAUGAAAUUGACUCUUUUUCCUAAUUUGUUAUCUAAUUUUUUUUGUUUAAUUUGAUACUUAAAUUUGUCAAACAUUCUACAAAUUAUUUCAAUAUACUAACAAUGUUUUAUGAGGUAAAAAAAAUAUCAAAUUUAAGUACCAAAUGUUAUAUUAAGCCUAAUUAUAUGUAUAAAUAAUUUUUUGUUCUUUUGUUCUAUCAAUACUUUUUUUCUUAUGCGAUUUUCAUCUAAAGCAUAAAUAAUUAAUAAUAAUAAAAUGGAAAGUGAAAGUGUAGAACAAUGAUGCCAAUUACUGCUAAAUUCUAUCACGUAAGCUGUCCUUUUUUUAGUAAAUAAUUAAAAUAAUUAGCAAAGCUGCUAAAAAAAAAAACUUGACUUAAGGGGCAUGGUGGAUCCAAUUUUACCUUUUCAAAAGUAUCUUUUUUAUCAAGAAAAAGCAGCCAUGGAGCCAACUAAGAGCACACCUGCAAGCUCUUAAGAGAUUUAUUAAAAGUUAAAAUGUUAGUCCUUGUAUUUUGAUAAAAUUUAUAAUUUAGUCUCUAUUUUUGUUUUUUAUUUUAAAAAUUUGAGUCCGAUGGUUAGUAUUUUCUGUCAAAUUUUAUUAAGUUGAUAUAUGUUGAUGUUCUCAUAUGAUAUGAUAUAUAAUUCACAUAAUUGUUAAUAAUAGGAUUAAAACUUUUGAACGACCAUGAUGAGUACAAAAUAUGCAAAAAAAAAAAAUUAUGAUAAUCCUAUAAUCUUUUAUAUAUCAAAUGUACUAAAAAUUAAACCCUUAAAACGACGUUAUAGAGACCAACAACCACAAAUCCUAAAUACAGGGGAAAUCUGAAGGGGCAUGCAAGGCCUUGGCCCCCCUCAAAUGAAUAAAUUACUAUUCAAGUCUCAUAUAAAAUGAUUAAAUUAAAAAUAAAGUUAUGAUAAAUUUGCACUUUGCCUCUCAAAAUGAAGAAAUUAUAAAUUAAUACCUUCAAAAAUUAUGUUUUGAUUUCUCAAAAGUUUAUUAUUCGAUUUUGAUCCUCCUUAAAAAAGAUUUAUGGAUUCGUCUCUACCCAAACAUAAACCGCAAAACAAACAUAGUUGAUAAAAAUAAUAAUUAAGAUUGUAAUCGCUAUUAAAACCUUAAUUAUUGCAAUUAGGCUUUUUAAGGUAAAAAGAAAAAGUUGAAUGAAUUUAGAUCUUUUCCCAUACAUUAUUUUCCUUUUAAUUAUAUAUCAAUGGGGGAAAGAGAGGUUAUGAAGAAAAAGGAGUUGCAUUGUUUAGUAAUUACUACAAAGUAAAGGGACCACAUUAAACAAUGUACAAAAAAAUCUUUUUAAUCUUGUAUUUAUUAACACUUUUGUUUAUUUCCCUUAAUUCUAUUAUCACGAGAUCUGUAAAUCUGCCAUAAUAAAUAUUUAAAAAUAUUAUAAAAAAGAAGAGAAAAAGAUGAUAAUGAUUAUGAUGAUGGAUUACAUAAUGCAAGUCCCAUAUGUGAACAAGAUUACAUAUUUAGAUCUUAAAAUUCUGGGAUGGAAAAGGGGAACAAAAUCCCAAGCUUCCUACAGUGUUAUCAAACUUAAAUGGGUUAAUAUAAUUUUAGUCCCUAAACUUGGUAAUUAAGGUCACUUUAGCACUUUUAUUUUUUUAUUCAUUUUGAUAUCUGAAUUGGCAAUGAGGUUCGUUUUGAUUUUUGAAUUUGAGAUACGUAAAGAUUUGAUGACGAGAUACUUUGAGAUUAUGGCACGUCAUUAAAUCUUUAUAAAAUUCAAGUUCAUUGAUUAAAAUGAACCAAACAAAAAGUACAUGUACCAAAACAGAAUUAAUUGACAAUUCUGGGGACUUAAAGCUAUAUUAACCGACUUAAAUGUGGCUUUCUUCCUACAAAGGUUCAAUUAUGCCUUCAGUCCUAUGCUUCUGGACUUUUGAAAUUUGAUCCCUUUGCUUUGAAAAUUAAAGCGUUAUGGAUUUCUAUUAAAUUUGAAUUGUUGUAUUAUAAUAUUUAAAAGUUUUUAUUUAAAAAUUAAAGUUUAAUUAAAUUUAAUAGAAUUCAGCUAACAGUACUCAGUCGGACUAUAAUUUUUAAACUAGAUAAAUAAAAAAAUUAGACAAUGUUAGAUCUAUAUCCUAAUAAAACAACAAAUUAUAGGGACCAAAUAUAUCAUUAUGUAAUAAAACAUAGCUAUGGAACUCUUUAUCAGCUUGUCUAGUGCCAAAAUGAGGACAAUUUAUAGGGGAAUCAAUUAUUGAAAAUUUCUCUUAAAACACUCUUACGUAGAUCCGUUUUAUCAAAAGCAGUUCUUUUCGAUAAAUAAUACAGAAAUUAACCUAUUUUCAUAAAUAUAUUUAGAAAUAGGACUUUUUAAGUAAAUCAAUUAUUUUUAUGCCUAAAAAAAGAUUCAAUUUAAAGUGAUAAACCAUACUAUUUGGACUGCCCCACGAAUAAUUCAUCAUUCCUUUAAUAUCCCCUUAAAUAUUUGCAAUCAUGUAAAGAUGAGUUUGAAUAGGUGCUAAGUUUAGUUACGAUUAAUGUAAAAAUAAUAGUAAUGAUGAAAUUAAAUACUAUAAUAAUAAUAUAACGUGAGACAAAAAAAUAAAUUAAACACACCACCCUUAAUCAUUCAUUUAAACCCAAACUAAGGGCUCUUUUGGUUUGGCUUUUAACAUCAGUGAGGUGCAGUUGGGGUAGCAACCUCACUGAUAUGUUGUUUGGUUCAGCAAUACAGUGCAGUGAAAGUUGAUUUCAACCACACUGCUACGAUGAAAAGGAGUUAGAGGUUUCAGCAACAAUUGAAGGCAGUGGGAUAGUAGGUAUUUUUAACAGACAAAAACACUAUUACUUUUAUUUAUUAUUUUACCAUUUUAUCUUUGAAAGUUAAACUAAUUUAUUUCCCAACCUUAUUUGUAUCACAUUACAAAAACAAAAAUUUAAAUACUUAUACCUAAUAAAACGUCUUUCUCAUUACAAUAAUAGUUAUUUUCCAAAUAACAUAUUGUUUUAUAAUUUUAUUUCUUAAUUAAUAUUUUAAUUUAAUUUUAAUAAUGCAUACUUUAUAUAAUCAUAUUAGUGAAUCUGCUAACACAUACUUCAUCCGGGUAAAGUAUGCAUUUUAAUAACACAUGAAAAAUAAUGUUACUAUUUGUGAAAAUAAUAUUUAUCAUUGUUAUAAAAGAGUAUUUAACUAUAAAAAAUUAAAAAUAAUUAUCAUUUUAUCUAAAAAAUAAUUUAAAUUGAUUAUAUAAUUAAUUAAAAUAUUUAUAAUAAAAUAUUAGAAAAUACAUUUUAAUAUUUUAUUAAACGAAUUUUUUAUUCUCACCUCACCGCUACAGCUGCGUUUGAAUCCAAACACACACUCUACCAUUGUUUCUAAUCUCACCACUACAGUAUUUAAUCUCAAGUAACUAAUAUUACCGCCACUACUAUUUUUUAUUCCACCGGAAGUAAACACACCGCCUAUCUAAACUAAGCCUAAUACAUUUUAUUGAUAUAUAAUUUUAAAAAAGAACGAAAAUGAUUACUCUACAACAUAUAAAUUACCUUAAUGCAAUCCAUUUAUUUAUUAUAAUAUGAACGCUAUCAUAUCAAUCAAUCGUGUGUUUUAUAUUCCACCUUUUAAUAAAUUUCCCACUUCAAAGGAAUCCAAAGUCCAACAGCUGCCACUAUCUUUAACCUUUUUUAAAAAAAAAUAUUUUUUAUAAUUUUCUAGUUUAAUUAUGCAUAUCCUCAAUUGACCCUUCACCACCUUUAUUCUCUUUUAAAGUGUUCAUCGAAAUUGGCCUGCAAAAAUUAAAAAAGAGCUCAUAAUCCUCUUCUAUGGAAAACCUUAUAAUUAUUUUCCUUAUUCUUCUGCCAUUCUCAUCAGCUUAUACACGUCCUAACGAGCACUUCAUCAACUGUGGGUCAGAUUUCAACUUCACCGGAAACGGCAGUCGGAACUUCGUCGGUGACCGCUACGCCGGCGUUUCUUUCUUUAAAGGAAAAACCGGCACUAAACGAGAAACCACCUCCUCCGUAUCCCAACUUUAUUGGACGGUGAGAAUCUAUUCACAGCCAUCGUUUUACGAGUUCAUAAUCAAAACAAGCGGCACUUACUUUGUACGUCUCCAUUUCUUUGUUCCUUCAUCUUCUGAUAAUCUGUACAACGCUAAAUUCACCGUUUUAGCUUCAGGGUUUGAGCUUUUAUCGAAUUUCUCCGUCAAAAAUAGCCCUGCCGGUUCGCCCGUCAUAAAGGAAUUUUUAGUCAAUAUCGAUGAAGGAAGAUUCAAAAUCAAUUUCAUACCUUCUCAAGGUUCAAACAUAGCUUUUGUAAACGCCAUUGAAGUGUUUCUAACACCGGAAAGCUUCGUCCCCGACACCGCUCCCCUUGCCGGACGCCUUCGAGGCUCGUUCGACAGUUUACGGUCUCGGGUUUUACAUACAGUCUAUAGGAUCAAUGUCGGAGGGGAUAAUAUUACAACAGAUGAAGAUACACUGUGGAGGAACUGGAUACCUGAUAAUCAGUUCUUGUCUGAUCCGUCAAGUGCUAUGAAGAACAGUUUGUUUUUCAAAGGUGAACCUGCAUACACAUCUGGUCGUGCCAAUGAAUACACUGCCCCAAACCUUGUUUAUAAGACUGCAAGGAUAUCGAUUGUACAAGAUCAAUUCAAUAGAGGGCAAUCUUUCAAUAUAACAUGGAGUUUCAAAUGUGAGUAAAAGUUCAAGACACUUUGUUAGGUUCCAUUUUUGGGAAAUUGUUAGUCCAUCAAUUGAUUCUGUCAUGUUUGAUCUUUACAUUUACGAUAAAUUUGAGAAGGUGGUUUAUCCGUAUAACGAAACCGGACAGUUUGCGGUUCCGUUUUACUUCGAUUUCGUGGUGGAUUCGGACAAAUCCGGGGUCAUGAACGUACGUGUCGGCUCUCGGAAUGAUUCCGAGAAUCAAAUGGCGUUUUUGAAUGGGAUUGAAAUAAUGGAGUUUGUGCCCCAAGACCAAGAGAGGUCUAAAAAAGGGACUAAUUUAGUUCCUAUAGUUGGCUCUGUUGUUGGGGCUGUUGUAUUUGUUUUUGUUUUUAUAGUGGCAAUGGUUAUGUUCUUGAAAUGCAGGAAAAGAAAGCCUUUGUCUGAAAAAACAUCCAACAUGUCUCCUUUGGAUCUUGCUCUUAGAAUAUCUUAUUACGAAAUCGAGCAAGCAACGAAGAAUUUUGAUUCCGGUUUAUUGAUCGGAGAAGGUGGAUUUGGGAGAGUGUACGAAGGUUUAUUUCGUGGUAAGAAAGUGGCUGUUAAAAGGACCGAACCAGGACAUGGCCAAGGCCUACUGGAAUUCCGGACAGAGAUUAUUGUCUUGUCCCGAAUCCGGCAUCGGCAUCUCGUUUCUUUGAUUGGUUACUGCGACGAAAGAUCGGAAAUGAUAUUGGUUUAUGAGUUUAUGGAGAAGGGUACUCUUAGAGAUCAUCUAUAUAAACGGAGUUCCGAUGUUGAGAAACCGUAUUUUGCUCGGUCCGACUUGUCUUGGAAGCAAAGGCUUGAAAUUUGUAUUGGUGCAGCAAAAGGGCUUAAUUAUUUGCACACCGGUUCGGAUGGUGGAAUCAUUCACCGCGAUGUUAAGUCCACGAACAUCCUACUCGAUGAACGGUUAGUAGCCAAAGUUGCCGAUUUUGGGGUCUCGAAAUUUAACCUUCCGGAUGCCGAACAUAGUGCUAAUGUCAAAGGAACGUUUGGUUAUCUCGACCCCGAAUACUUCUCAUCGCUGCCAUUGACGGAUAAAUCCGACGUGUACUCUUUCGGGGUCGUACUUCUCGAAGUACUUUGCGCGAGGCCAGCGGUUUUGGCAUCGAAUAGGAGGGAAGAAGUGAACUUAGCUGAAUGGGGAAUGCUUUGGUUGAGGAAAGGUCAACUCGAGAAGAUUAUCGAUCCGAUGCUAGUUGAUACAAUCAACCCCAACUCGUUGAGGAAGUUCGUCGAGACAACCGAGAAGUGUUUAAGACCGUCUGGUAACGAAAGACCAGUGAUGCGGGACGUGUUGUGGGAUUUAGAAUACGCAUUGCAGCUUCAGUUAAUUCCGAUGAACAAUGGAACAUUCGAAGACAGUACGACCAAUGUUUCCUUAGAAUUCUCAAUGAUGCCGGUCCUCCAUCGGUUACCUUCAAAUAGCUUCCCGGCCGUUGAGGAAGAAGGUGCGGCCUUACUAUCCGUUGAUGCUUCCGAUGUAACUGCUAGCCAAGUACUCUCAUUAUUGAGUGUUGGUGAGGCUAGACAGUCUCCACUGGUUUAAAUGUUGAUAAACGCUACACUUUGUAUGUACUAUUUUUUGGUAAAAUGUCCUCUCCAGUCCCUCUCAAUUCCAAUAUCAAGCAAAUUAGUCCCUCUCAAAAAAACUUAAGCAAUUUUAUUUUUGUGAAUUUUGAAAAUGAGCAACUAAGCACCAUUAAUCACAUCAUUAACUUUU